RNAcentral lists this long non-coding RNA (9402 nucleotides) under Phaseolus vulgaris (common bean). Its description in RNAcentral is "long non-coding RNA (PVUL_LNC004681)". The record is from RNAcentral. Lineage: Eukaryota; Viridiplantae; Streptophyta; Magnoliopsida; Fabales; Fabaceae.
AACAAACAUAAGAUUAAACUUUCAUACAAUGCAUUGUAGUCACCAACAUAAAAUUAGGUUUCUGAUACUUGUGCCUCGGUUCUAUAGGCAUUUUACAAGCAAAUGUAAUCCAUAUUGCAUAAUAACCAGGUCUUAACAACGGGAGCUUGGACUGUCACAUCAUGAUUGCACAAAUAAAAGGAAGGCAACUUCCUUUUAACCAAGCCAAACAAACAAUUCACAAAUAAAUACAGUGCAAGGCAUGAGCAAGCAGACCUGUUCAUUAUUCUCAGGGUUAUGGCCAAGACUGGCAGAUUCUCCACAACCAAAUGAAUACACAUCACCAUUAUCAGCCACUACAAAGGUGGUGUAAUCUCCUGUAGCAACAUGAACUGCUUUGACAUCUCUCAACUCUUCCACCACCUUAGGUACAGAUUCACAUUCUUCAUUACCAUGACCCAAGCAGCCACAACGACCCCAGCCCCAUGUGCAAAUCCGGCCGUCCUGCCCCACCACAGCUGCAUGCCAAGCACCAGCCGCAACCACCUUUGGCUGAAGGUUUAACACUUGGAAUUGUUCGAUCAAACGAGGAUACUUCUCAUCAGUUUUUGAGCCAUGGCCAAGCUUCCCACCCAAACCACACCCAACAGAGUAGACAGACCUAUUAAGAUUUCAGAAAAGGAUCACAUAAUCAAUCAAUAAACAAAGACGCGCAGACACACAUAGUCAUUACAAUUAAAAUGAAAGGUAAUGUAAAAUCUAAAAGAAUAAAAAUCAGCAAUGCUUAAGCACUUUCAUAAAUCUUGAAGUUGGGAACUUACGAUGAAAGUACAUGUAGACAAUUAAAGAAAACAGUAUGGAAGAUAUAUGGUUUGCCAUUAGAGGAAUAAAUCAUAAUACAAAAUAUUCUCUUUUCGAUCUAGCAAUAUGCAUAGAAAAAAUAAUGAUGGAAGAGUGCCCAACUUGCAUCAAUGAUAUAACUCUCAAUUCUCUUCUUGCCAAAAAGGAAUUCCAACAGUUAAGAGAAGGAGAAAAAAAGAUGAAGCUCACAUUCCACUUGGUUGACAAACCAAACAAAGGAGGUAGCAGAAACCGGCAGCUAUCUGCACUACUGGCAUGUGCUCCAGAGCUCCUAAUAAAGGACGAGGUUCCACAUCAUUAGGAUCUGUAUGGUGGCAGAGUUUUCCAUCACUACCCCAAGAAAAAGUAUAAACCCUGCCUUCUCUUGACAAUACGGCUGUGAAAAAGUUUCCAAUUGCAGCUUGCACAACAAAUAUGUUUUUCAAAGAUUCAACUAACUGUGGAGCUGUAACCAUUUUAGAUCCUUGAAUUCCAUUCUCAGCUUCACCAAAAGAGUCUUUCCCAAAGGCAUAAACCUGCCCAAAAUCACUGAUUAACAUUGUUCUCCCUGUCGCAACAGUAGCUUGUAUAAUCCGGAUGCCUUGUAAAGCUCUGCAGCAUAAUGGAGUUAUGUUAUCCUCAAUUCAACAAGAACUGUGGAAUGCAAUAACUAAAGUUCCAACCUGAUUGGUCGAGGUUGCCAUUCCUCUUUAGUUGUACCAUGCCCAAGUUGUCCUGAACUAUUGGACCCAAAUGAAUAAACAACCCCUUUUGAUGUCACAGCAAUGCUAUGACCAGGACCUGCUAUUGCCUGUGAUUUCUCUCUUCUGCAACAUGCUUCUCCAGCCAUCAAAAACCUCAGAACCAAUUUCCAAGAACCACCACAUCUUUGCUUCAAAUCUUGCUGUUGUUCAGUCGUCAUUGGCUUAAAAAUGGCUCUCUUCUGGCACAUGUCCAAUGCAGCAAGCUCUGACAAGGACAAAUCGAAAUCCGGAGCAAAGUUUGCCGGCUUCUUGAAGAAGGAGCAUGUUGCCUAAAAAAUACACAAUAAAAAAGAAACCAACAGUAUUAGACUUAGUAAUUACAAUUAAUUAAUUAAGAGCUGAAAUGCAGAUAAGCACUGCACUUGCCUCAAGUUUAGCAAGGUCUUGAGGAUACAAGCUACAUGAUGUAAGGACAUGAAGGACAAUUGAAGGAUUAGCAGACAAGGGAAACUCUCCUGGACUGGAGUCCCCAAAGCAAUGGCGUAGUUGGCGCUGAAAUGUAGGCAAUUGUGUGGCAACAAUGGUAGUAAUUGGCUGAUCAGGGAUGUUAUGGUAUUGUAUAGUUGGGGUUCCACUGGUAGUGGCAUCCAUGGGCACUGCCAACCUUAUACAGUGCCCAAACACAGCAGAAGAAAGGAUCUAACACUUCUGGGAAUUAUGAAAAUAUGUGCAAAUGCAUUACUACAUUAUUUAAUUUCUAUUUCUCAGUUUAUAGCAUCUGAAACUCUACACAUUGUUCUAACUUGUAACAAGCAUGUACCUCAAGAAUGUAUUUGACUAGCAAAUCUCAGGUCUCAAACCUACAAAGAAAAAAAAUAUACUUAUAAAAGAGAAACAAGUUUAGUUUUUUCUAAUGCAGUUGAAUUACAUGAUUGUCUGUCUCUAUUCACAACAGCACUAUAUAAAUCAAAGACACCAGAAGGCAAGAAUUUAGUCAUGAAACUUAUAUACCACAAUAAAAAAAAAUUUGACCGAUCGUAUAAUUGAUUAAGGGUGAAACCUUAUGAUCAAAAUUGAGGAUCCAAAUAAAGUGAUGGAAUCCAAAGAAGAAAUCUUUGAGAAUUACACUGUUCCCAGAUUAUGGGAUAUUCUACAAUCAUACACCCAAAAACAGAAAACUAAAAAAGGAAAAAAAUUUCUGAUCAAAGUUGAAAUAAUCGCAUCAAAGGUUGAUCAUCCCAAUCAAAAUGAAUCAAAUUGCAAAAUACCCUCUUCCAUACGGAAAUCAAACAUCCCUUUUUUUUUGUUGACUUUCCCAGAUCAGGGAAUCACAAGUAACCCAAUGAACAAGUACACUUGCUGGAUACGCAACCAGAAAAAGGGAAAAGCAACAAAAAUUAAAAAGAAUAAGGAAUCAAGGGAAGGGAGAGCCGAAAAUAAAACAUGGUAAACAAGUUUUGGGUGAAUGGAAUUCAUUAUGAUCGUUAUAGAUCGAAACAGAGACACGUGGAAGCGGUGAUUACUUAUGAGAGGGAUCAACAGCGAUUCCUCAAACCGAAUCUUCACCAUCGGUGCAGAAUUGUGGAGAGAGUUGUGAAGUUUUUUAAAUGAAGGAAAGAUCAAGUGAGUAUAUGAUCAAAUGGGCAAGAGCUGAAAAUCAGAGUGAGAGAGAGAAAGAAAGAGAGUUGAGGUUUUGUAUAGCUUUUGAGAGUGAAAUGGAUGAAUCAAUAAUUUCUUGUUUCUGAAAUGCAAGGGUCUCUUUUAUCUCUCUUUUAUUUAUAUGAUUAUUGCUAAUGACGAUGUGGUUAUGAUUGUUGUUACUCUUAAGUCACACCAAUUUAUUUAAUUCUACAACCCAUUUGCAACUAAAACUAUCUUAGUGUAAUUCAUCAAUAUAUUUCAUUUUUUACUUUAUUCUUUAAAUUUUACAAAUUCUUUUGAAUUAAUUAACUACCCACAAUAAAAAGCUACCUGUUAUAAAAUUAUAAAAAGAUAUUUGUUUAUUUUAUAAAUAUAUUUUUUCAUAAAUCUAAAAAUAAUUACAUAAAAAUUAUUUAUUUUAUUUUUUAUCAAAAAGAGAAAAUGAAUACACGUGUAAGCAGAUGUGUUUCCACCAAAGAGAAUUUUAACUAUUAAUGUAUGGUUUAAUUACCAAUUAUAUCUUUAUUAAUAUAAUUUAUUUCAUAACUAUUUUUUAAAAUUUAAUGAACUAUUUAUAAUAAAAAAAUUACCCAUAAUAAAAUUAUUAAAAAAAUAUUUUAUAAUUAUUUUUAUAAAUGUAUUUUUUAUAAAAAAAUUUAAAAAAUUAUGAUAAUUUUUUUAAUUUUGUUAUCAUAAUUUUAUUAGUAGUUGAUUCUUAUUAAUAGGGAUAUGACUUGUUAGUUAUUAACUAGAAUGAUUUAAUAAAUUAAUUAUUAAUUAGAUUGAGUAAAACUAUUCAAAAUCUUGAAUAAUAAAAAAAUAUUUAUUAGUGUUCUCGCCGUCCAUCGGAUUACGAAUGAGUUCUUCUUGGUCUCUUUUUUAGUACUCGAUCUAGCAAGACGCUGGUAUAACUACCUCCAAGCUUUAGCGAACCGUUCUUUUGGGAUGAGGGGGGUUCCACCUGUGAUUACACUACGACGCUCAAGUCAGUAAGAACACAAAAUAUAGUGUAUAUAGUGGAAUAUAUUGCAAAGGUGCAAGUUGAUAUACUCCUCUAGGUGGUUGUCUAUUUAUAAGCCUUCAUGAGCUUGAAUUUUUGACUCUGGUUCCUUUAGGCAUCAAUGUGUCAUAUUAUGAUAACUUUACAUAAAAUCUGAAUAUCAUAUAAUAUAAUCGAAGUAUUUAUGUAAUAUAAUAAGGGAUAUUAGGCAAAUAAGUUAGGGCAUUUAUGUGAUAUAAUCAGAGGAUAUUUAUAGUGUAAUAAGGAAUAUUGCGUCAACAUUUAUAGUGUAAUUAGGAAUACUCUGUUUAGCAUUUAUAGUAUAAUCAGGAAUCCUGCGUUUAACAUUUAUAGUGUGAUCUGGACGGACUCUGAUGAGCCUCUCAGUGGUAUGGAGACACGGGUAGCUCGGCUUAAUUCCUAGCCAUUUAUCGGGACGGUACACAACCCCCAGCCUUGAGCCAAGCCUGCUAGGUGCAAAGGCUAACGUCCGGUCUGAUAGUGAGGUUGGUCGGCUUAAUUCCUACUUAAUGAGUGUGGUAAGCUCGACUUUCAUGCAAGUAGGACACCUAAGUCGAUCGGUUUUCUCCCAACUCCUGAGCCUGUUAUAGGCUUCAUUUUUUACGCAAGUUGGGGAUCGCGUCGGUUGGAUUUCUCCCCACUCUUGAGCCUGUAUAGGUUUCAUUUUUUAUGCAAGUUGGGGACCGCGUCGGUCGAAUUUCUCCCAACUCAUGAGCCUGUUAUAAGCUUCAUUUUUUACGCAAGUUGGAGAUCACGUCGAUCGAUUUUCUCCCUAAAAGACCAUUUUUUUAAAUUUUGUUCAAAAAAUUUCCCUUAAAUAAAUUAAUUCAAAGAAAAGUUUGAAUUACUCGUUUUUUUAAAGAAUUAAAGUUUUUCUUUUAAGUUCAAUUCAUUCCCUUUUAAACUUAGUCCAUUUUCUCAACGAUUAUUAGCUAUGAUUGUUGAACUUAAUCUUAAACUGAAACAUAUGAACAUUAAGAUUCAUUCCAGUAGGAAAACUUAGAAGAAACCAUCUAUAUAAAGUAACUAGAAAGAUUUUAGGAAUGAGACAGAAAGGAUAUGUAUGGUCUGAUAAAUCUCGAAAAUAAUGGAACAAGAUGUAUGAUCUUAAAAGAACUAACUUUGAAAUUUAAUUUGUUUAAGAGUAGAAGUAGUUAAAAUGACUUGAACCUUGAAUAUUUUAUUGUUAAAGUUAAAAAGCUUAUAAAUAGUAAAAUUAAUUAUUCAAACUUCAUUUUAUAAAAAUCAUCAUUUCUUUAAAAAUAAAUAUUUGUUCUUCUCUAUAGAUUUAUGAGUUAAUCGUUCAUUUUUUUUUUCAAAAUUUGAACCUACAAUAAUGAAGCUAGCAUAGAAUAGAAAAUAUCCAUUUGAUCAUAAUUUCAUUUAGAGUAAGUUCUUUUUUAUUUUUUACUUGGGUUGUUUAUAAGCAACGUAAUUUACAUGAAUUUUGAGGUACAAAGAUAAAUUUUUGCUAGUCCAAGGUCGUAGUGGUAUCUUCAGUUUGAUUAUCAAAGUUUUAUGUUGUCUUAUUUGAGUUUAUUGUGUGAGCCAGACCGUUGAAGUUUCGUCGGGAUAACUAGAUUUUUGGCUAAGAGAAACUAUUAAUUAUGCAAAAAAAAUGUAUAUUUGUGUUUUGCACAGGUCUUUGGUGACCAUUUUGUUCGCCUAAUGAAAUUUGAUUUAGUGAAAACCCGAAAGUUUUAUUUGUUGGGAGACCGAAAAGUCACUAUAUGAGUAGACCUUUGGUUGAGCAAGCAAAAUGGUGGUUAGACAAAUUUAUACAUGUGCCUAAUUCGCCAAUCGAGCAUAAUGGUGGUUAAAAGAGACAAUGUUUUCUAGACUAUGAAGAAAAUAUGUUUGUAAAUGGUUUUAAAUCUAAAAAUUGUUUAUAUUUCACUAAAUUGUUAUAAUUUAUCAACCUUUUAUUCUAGAAUAUUGUUAUAAUGUGAUGAAUGGUAAAUUGAAAUUUGCUAAUAUUAAUUUUAUGUUGGAGUAUAGGGUUUCAAAUGAUAAAUUUGAUAUGUAUGUGACUUAUUAUGUGAUUGAUGAAGUACAUGAUGAUAUGUAACAUUUGAAAUGUAUGAUGUAAAUUCUAUAUGAUGAAAGAAGAAAUAUGAUUUGAGUUUAAAUUUAUACGAGUAAGAAUAUAUGUUGAGUGUGUUGUGAUAUAUAUGAAUGAAAUAUACGAAAGUUGAAGUCACAAACUUGGGAUGUUAUAUGAAUACUAAUAAUAGUAUGAGGUAUUAAGUGUAUGCAUAUAUGAUAUAAAGAUCUCUUGCUUCACUAAUAGUUAGGUCACAUAAACAAUGACAUUAUGUGGUGCAAAACUGAAAGAGAGUUUAUCAUAUUAUCAUAACACAUAUUGAGGUAUGAAAAGUGAAUCAUAACACAUGUUUAGAUUUGUGUAUGAAUGUAUUUAUAUUUUCUUGAUUGAUAAGAUCAAAAUUAUAAACCUGAGAGAUUUUGUUGUAGGUUAUGUGUUGAUAAUAACAUAUGGUUGAGAUGCGAAUGAAUUUUAUGAAUUCUGAAAAUGUAUGUAUUGUGAAAUUUUAAAAUACUAACUUAUCCUUAUCUUUUAUUGUAAAUAUGAUAUGAUUAUGAUGACAUAUUCUUAAAUAAUAAGAGAUGCUUGUAAAACAAGGAUAAUCUAUACUAUAUAUAUACAUUUAUUUAUAUAUAUAUAUAUAUAUAUAUAUAUAAAUAAAGUAAGUGUAGCAAUAUUUUGUGUUACUUAUUUUGUUUGGUAAAGAAUAUACAAAUAAAUUAGAUAGAAAAAAUUUAAUAGAAAUAUAUAUGAAAUAAAUUCAAAAUUCAAUUUUAUAUUGAAAAGAAAUAAAAAAAAAACAAGAGAGAUAGAAAAAAAAAUAUAAUAAACUUCAUUUUUUUAGUUAAUUCACUUUGUAUUACACCUAACAUUAUAUUAAAUUUAUUUCCAUUCAUACCUUACUAUCUCAACCAACUCCUUGUAGAAGUUUUUCUUUGUAUGAGGUGAAAGGGAGGAGAAUAUAGAAGUUUUUCUUUGAAUGAGGUGAAAGAGAGAAGAUAAAAGAGAAGAUAAUAGUGUUUUAAUGAGUGGGUUUGGUUGAGAUGAAAUUGUUGUAAAUGCCCAUGCUCUGCCCUUCUUGUUGGAUUCAAUGGAAUUAAGGUGAAUGUGAGUUAGUUAACCAUGACACCAGAUCCAUAAUUAAUUAUAAACUUAUCACAUUAUUAUGUAAGUUACCUAGGAUUCAUAAUAAUUAUACACUUAUCACAUAAUUAAUUAGGUAAGUUACCUAGAAAUUCAAGUUAUAUACAAAAUAUUGACAUGCAUUACCUAUAUUCAAUUAUCAAAUAAUCAUAUUGGAUUAUAUAAUUUUUAUAAUAACAAAAAAAUGAAAGAGAAGUGUAUAUUCAUCCCAAAUUUUUAAUUUUAUUUUUUUUCCAAUGAAAGAUAUAAUUAUAUAAAUUUCCUUUUUUUCAAUUUUUUGCACUAUGACAUCAAACAAACAACUUCAUUUUUUUUUUUCAUUCCUUCAAUUCCUUUAGCAUCAACAAAUAAGAAGGCUUAGUUAGGUAUGCUAAAAAAAAUUCACUGAAGUGAUAAGAAGGGGGAUAUGAGGUGGAAAUCUCAUCUAAGUCACUGUUUGGAUAAGAGAAGAAUAAUAUUAGAAACCACAAUCCCAUUGGAGCACGUUUCUCCAACGUGGCUUUUCCAAAUAUUAAAGACGUCUUUGUAUUGAAAUUUACAACUGAGUUCAUUAAAACAAUAUAAGUCUUGCAGGAAUAAAUUUUUAACUAAAAUUUUAUGGUAAAACUAUAUUUUUAAAAAUAGCCAAAUAUACCACAACUCUCCAAACUAGAUUUGAAGUGUCCAAAACUAAAAACGAAACAGAGCUUAAGUGUUAAUCCUCACUGAGAACCACUAUUCCCAUUCUCUCUCCACUGUCAUUUUUAUAUAGAAUUUUAGUCAUCUAUAAAAAAAAAUAUUUUGAAUCUAUAAUAAAAAAAUAUAAAACAAGUUACCUCUUACCGAAAGAAGUAGUACCUCUUACCUAUAAACAUUAAAAUAAGAAGUCAGUGAUGUCAAGUGAAUCGCAAAUUAGUAAAUUUAACCAACUUUAUCUAAGCAAAUGAUCCUAGGAUAACCACAUUCAAAAGUCAAGACAACUGAACUGUAUAUAAACCUUCACAUUUUAAAGUAUCAUAAUCUAGUUGAAGCCUAAGAUUAAUGUCAAGAACCUCAGAAGAGGCAGUGGGUGAGGCCCCUGUCAUUUGUUGACACUAAAACUGUACGUAGUGUGCAUAAAUUAGAGGAUGACAUGGUGUAAAGAAUUGGGAGUACACCAGCAAACAUAGUUAACAAAGAUCAAUAUCAAGCAGCUCUGGCUUUCCUCUUUCAGUGUGGUUGGCACCAAGCUCUACACCUAGUUGUCCUUUGUCCCCAGCCCCAAAGGCAUACAACUUCCCUGAUUCAGUUAAGGCAAAGGUAUGAGCUUUCCAAUAUAUGGAAUUGGUCAGACUAAUCUGCACCACCCGUUCAUUGAUCUCUUUCAUUGAACUCACAAGCUUUGGACUUAACACAUUUGCAUGCAUGUCUUCCUGCACAAGCACAAGAUUAAAUUUUAAUACAAUGGACAACCAAUACAAAAUCCAGAGUUCAUUUUGCACUUUGCAACAGUGCACAUGAAUUCAGUACUUUCAAGUCAUGCUGGCCCGUCAUUCAGAUUUAGCAUAAACUCGGGCAUUUGUAUAAUGCGAUCAGGUCUUAAAAAAAGAAAAGCUUCAACUACAAGCUACAUUCUGAAACUGAAAGUUCCAGUUCUUGCAAAGCAAAAACCGCUAGCCAGUUCAUCAUAUCAUGAUUGCAUAAAAAUCAAAGGAAAGCAACUUCCUUUCAAUCAAGCCAAACAAAUCAGAGUGAAAGGCAUAAGAAAGCAGACCUGCUCAUGAUUCUCGGGGUUAUGGCCAAGACUAGCAGAUUCUCCGCAACCAAAAGAAUACACAUCACCGUUAUCAGACACUACAAAUGUGGUGUAAUCCCCUGUAGCAACAUGAACUGCUUUGACAUCUCUCAACUCUUCCACCACCUUAGGUACAGAUUCACAUUCUUCAUUACCAUGACCCAGGCAGCCAUAACGACCCCACCCCCAUGUGCAAAUACGGCCAUCCUGCCCCACCACAGCUGCAUGCCAAGCACCAGCUGCAACCACCAUCGGCCUAAGGUUUAACAGCUGGAAU